This 350-nucleotide unclassified non-coding RNA is filed under the name soil metagenome. Its description in RNAcentral is "partial contains 5.8S ribosomal RNA, internal transcribed spacer 2, and large subunit ribosomal RNA". The stretch from base 1 to 120 matches the Rfam family "5.8S ribosomal RNA", at positions 35 to 154 of the family's 154-position model. The record is from RNAcentral.
GAUGAAGAACGCAGCGAAAUGCGAUAAGUAAUGUGAAUUGCAGAAUUCAGUGAAUCAUCGAAUCUUUGAACGCACAUUGCGCCCGCCAGUAUUCUGGCGGGCAUGCCUGUUCGAGCGUCAUUUCAACCCUCAAGCCCAGCUUGGUGUUGGGGAUCGGCACAGGCGCCCUCGGGCGCCCGCCGUCCCCUAAAUCUAGUGGCGGUCCCGCUGCAGCCUCCUCUGCGUAGUAGUUUUCUCCUCGCAAGGGCAGCUCGGUGGCGACCUCGCCGCAAAACCCCCAACUUCUGAAAGGUUGACCUCGAAUCAGGUAGGAAUACCCGCUGAACUUAAGCAUAUCAAUAAGCGGAGGA